UAGGGAAUCUUCGGCAAUGGGGGGAACCCUGACCGAGCAACGCCGCGUGAGUGAAGAAGGUUUUCGGAUCGUAAAGCUCUGUUGUUAAGGAAGAACGAGUGUGAGAAUGGAAAGUUCAUGCUGUGACGGUACUUAACCAGAAAGGGACGGCUAACUACGUGCCAGCAGCCGCGGUAAUACGUAGGUCCCGAGCGUUGUCCGGAUUUAUUGGGCGUAAAGCGAGCGCAGGCGGUUAGAAAAGUCUGAAGUGAAAGGCAGUGGCUCAACCAUUGUAGGCUUUGGAAACUGUUUAACUUGAGUGCAGAAGGGGAGAGUGGAAUUCCAUGUGUAGCGGUGAAAUGCGUAGAUAUAUGGAGGAACACCGGUGGCGAAAGCGGCUCUCUGGUCUGUAACUGACGCUGAGGAACGAAAGCGUGGGUAGCAAACAGG
RNAcentral lists this ribosomal RNA (429 nucleotides) under Verrucomicrobiota bacterium. RNAcentral describes it as "Verrucomicrobia bacterium partial 16S ribosomal RNA". It matches the Rfam family "Bacterial small subunit ribosomal RNA", at positions 355 to 776 of the family's 1533-position model. Lineage: Bacteria; Pseudomonadati; Verrucomicrobiota. The record is from RNAcentral.